Molecule: long non-coding RNA, 446 nt
Organism: Zalophus californianus (California sea lion)
Lineage: Eukaryota; Metazoa; Chordata; Mammalia; Carnivora; Otariidae
Exons: 3
Source: RefSeq, a predicted model, not a curated record
UAUCAGCAGAGGUCCAAGCACCAGCUCACCAGCAGAACCCAAAGAAUCACAGAGCUUUCCGCCUUAAUUCCAAGGCCUCACACACAGGGACUGUAAACUGCUGAACUUCAAAACCAGAGCUAGAAGAUUUAGAAACAGCUUUCAAGCUUGAUUUUAAAGGGGCCACUGGGACACACUGCCUCAGAGAACACGUGAGGACAACUAUACUGAGAACGAAUAUGUGAGAUGAGCUCAGGACUUUUCCCACACUUUAUACUUAACAGUGGUCUUCAUGCCCGAAGAAAGAACAAACGGAAGAGCUUGCCAGAGAGCUGAGACAGAGUAUGGAAAGUAACUAGUUUCAGAUACUUAGAUAGUUCUAUUCAUCUUGGGUCACGCCGAUGGGCUAAUGUCUCUCACUCCUUUCCAGAUUCCCUCAGGCAUGAUUUCAUACUUAAGAAGGAAUU